GUCUGCGGCCCCGCCACCCGGACAAGUCCGAGCCUGUCCGAGCCGAGCAGGCCCGGGCCUGGUUAGUACUCGGAUGGGAGACCGCCUAGGAAGACCAGGUGCUGGAGGCA
This 110-nucleotide ribosomal RNA is filed under the name Pteropus alecto (black flying fox). Lineage: Eukaryota; Metazoa; Chordata; Mammalia; Chiroptera; Pteropodidae. The record is from RNAcentral.